Molecule: long non-coding RNA, 273 nt
Organism: Oncorhynchus tshawytscha (Chinook salmon)
Lineage: Eukaryota; Metazoa; Chordata; Actinopteri; Salmoniformes; Salmonidae
Source: Ensembl
GAGUCCAGUGUGUUGGGUAGAGUCCAGUGUGUUGGGUAGAGUCCAGUGUGUUGGGUAGAGUCCAGUGUGUUGGGUAGAGUCCAGUGUGUAGAUAGAGUCCAGUGUGUAAAUAGAGUCCAGUGUGUUGGAUAGAGUCCAGUGUGUAAAUAGAGUCCCGUGUGUAAAUAGAGUCCAGUGUGUAAAUAGAGUCCUGUGUGUAGAUAGAGUCCAGUGUGUAGAUAGAGUCCAGUGUGUGUGUAGAGUCCAGUGUGUGGGUAGAGUCCAGUGUGUUGG